Molecule: ribosomal RNA, 292 nt
Filed under: uncultured Bacteroidota bacterium
Lineage: Bacteria; Pseudomonadati; Bacteroidota
Description: uncultured Bacteroidetes bacterium partial 16S ribosomal RNA
Source: RNAcentral
GGACUACCCGGGUAUCUAAUCCUGUUUGAUCCCCACGCUUUCGUGCCUCAGUGUCAAUAUAUCAUUAGUAUGCUGCCUUCGCAAUCGACCUUCUGCGCAAUAUCUAUGCAUUUCACCGCUACACUGCGCAUUCCGCAUACUUCAUAAUAAUUCAAGUAUAUCAGUUUCAACGGCACGGGAAAUGUUAAGCAUCUCCUUUUCACCGCUGACUUAAUAAACAACCUACGCACCCUUUAAACCCAAUGAAUCCGGAUAACGCUCGAAUCCUCCGUAUUACCGCGGCGGCUGGCAC